GGUAUAACUCCCGUAGUGGAGCAAAGUGAUGUAUAUGUUAAAAACGAAAUGAGUAUUACAUAUAUGUGUGAGGUCUUGAUUUGCAUUUCUGAUAGUUAUAUAGCAUUUUUGAUAGUAAAAUAAAGCAUAUAUGAACAAGUUGAAGAAGUUAGUCAUUCUCGUUCAAAAGCUAUUGUUGCGGUUGCUUGGAUUCAUCCCACCAACGAACGGAGAACCGUGAAAUAAACGGGCCGGAAGAGAGGUCCCGUCCCGUGGAAAUGACUAAUAUAUAUAUUAGUUCCGAGAAAACAAAACCCUAAUCUUAUGCCACUGCCGUCACUCCUCUUUUAAAAUUCAAAUCCUCCCUCACAAUCAGCCCAGAAAUUCGCACCUCUCUGGCUCUCUUCUCGCCGCCGUCUGACACCCUCCUCCUCUCUCCCGACACGCUCCUCUCCUGUUACCGCCACUGUCUCUCACUCUCACGAUCUCACCGCAAAAUCGUCGUCUUCCCGCGUCUGAGGGCUGAGGCAGAAUCGUCGUUGCCAUCUCUCGUCGGAACCUGAACGUCGGCUCCUCCAGCCUGCUCUUCGUCGCCGCCUCCACCCCGGUCUUCUUCGCAGCUUCCGGUCCAGUAUCCGUCACCGCCUCCAGCAAGAUCUUGGCCGAUUUUCAUCGCCGUUGCAGAAGCAUCUUCGCCGAUUUUCAAUGUUAAUGGUAAUUCUCACAACAAUAACAACAUCAACUCCUCUUCGGAGCUGAACAACAAUGUUUAUUCUUCAUCUUCUUCCUCCACCUCACCCAAAGACGCGGAAGCUGCAUUUUACAGGGAGCUAUGGCAUGCGUGUGUAGGUCCUCUUGUUACAGGUCCAACAGAAGGAGAAAUAGUUUUCUAUUUCCCUCAGGGACACAGAGAACAGGAGGAGGCGUCAACAAAUCAGGUGGCUGACCAACAUAUGCUGUGUACGACCUUCCUUCUAAUAUCCUUUGUCGGGUCAUCAACGUGCAGCUCAAGGCGGAGCCCGACUUGGAUGAGGUGCUUUCCCAGAUUACCUUGCUUCCGGAGCAAAAUCAAGAUGAGACCGUCGAGAAAGAGCCUCCGCUGCCACCACGGUGUCAUCGUCCCUUGCACUUAGAUAAAUGGAGCCUCAGGUAAAUUAAUUGCUGGUUUUUAUUUCUUUUAAUUUGUUGAUUUGUUACUGGCUGAUUUUUUGUUAUGAGUAUCUGUUCUGAUGGCGGGUCGGCUUCCACUAUCCUAGGCUUUUCGAAAAGCUUGUUUGCUAAACAGCUUGGGUCGUAGACCUCCAAGAAAGCCUAUAAAGUCCAAUAGGCAUCUUUUUCACUGUUAUAUUUAUUUAGUGUUUAGCCUACCUUUGUGUCUUGUUACAAUUCCUAUUACAAUUCUAUGUAAUCCGUGGAAAUCUCUCACGUUUUCGCGUUUAUACAUAGACCGUGGUAACCUACUACGGUUUAUGAAGAGAAUAUAAACGUAAAUCUUGGUUAUUUAAUACGGUUUAUAAAGAGAAGAUAUGUACACAUAAUUUGUGGUAACCUGCCACGGUUUAUGAUGAGUAAAAAUUUUAUAUAUACACGGUGAGUUUCAUUGUGUUGUAAAGGAGUAUUUUUACAAUGGUAAGUGAGGAUGAGAGUUUCUUAUUGCUAGUACAUUGCUUUAAGAAAAUUCAAAGAAGCAAGAAAUACGGUGUGAAGUUCACUGACAGAGAAUCGUUGAGUAUAUUGAUCAGUUCAUCAAGGAGUACCUUAUCAGAUCUAAAGAACUACAUAUUGUCAAAGCUUGGGGUAUUUGGGAGCAAGUGGGUGAAGAAAUUAUUUUAUAAGAUUCCGAUCGCAGUUGUGUCAACCGAUGUUAAGAAUGAUACAUUUGUGAUGGCAACUGAUGAAGAUAUUCGGGUUUUGUUUCAUUGUCUUAGGAGUUCUCCAGAGGUCAGAAUACACGAGAUGUAUGUGAAGUUGGAGGUUGGUGUCCAUAGUUCAAGGGCAUCAGCUCUGUUUUCUCACUCGACUGCCAUGGGCGGUGCCUCUAGUUUGAUGGCUCUGGCCGCACCAAUUGAUCUGUACGUUGCAUCUCCUUAUAUUGCGGUUGAUUUAGAACGUACAGAGGCAGUUGGUUCUGUAUCAUUCGAGAAUCGUGGGGUUUGACAUCAGAUAUAUAGGGUGGAUAACGGUCCUGAUACUAUUCCUAAUGUUAUAGGGGUCGGGGAACCUGGUCGAGUUGUGAAUGCAAUGGGGGAUGAUGAUUCAGACAUGAUGAUACCCUUUAAGUUCUAGCAUACAGUAGUACUCUCCGCACUACUCCACUCUAAACUUGGAGGCUAUGGGGCAAUAGUUAGACGGAGAUAUUGCUGUUCGAAGUUCUUCUACAAAAUUUCAAAUUAGGCAAUCAUUCCAUAAUAAAGAGGAAGUUGUUUUGAGUGUGAAGGAUUAUAGCAUCUGUCAAGCUGUUGAAUACAUGGUGUUAGAGUUGGAUCAUCUAAUGGGAAAUGCAAGGAAUUCGGCAAUGGUUGUAGUUGGUUGAUUUGUUUCUCGCUUCGUGCGCAAAAUUGCAGUUGGAAGGUGAGGAUCUAUCUGAUGGUUAGGGCGGAUGUUGCGGUUAUGACAACGGAAGCCAAUUAUGGAUUCAGGUCCAAUUACAAGAAGGUUUGGAUGGUAAAGCAGAAGGCAAUUGCACAAAUAUACGAGGAUUGAGAAGAGUUGUAUGCUGAGUUGUUAUGUUGGAGGGAGGAAAUGCAAAGUUAUGGCCUUUUUCUUGUCCAGCCUAUGACAACAUGUGACGCCACAGGAAGGUAUCCUUGUUAUCUCCGACGGGCAUAAUGGCAUCAAAGCUGCCCUUGAGGCACCUGUGGUGGUUGACUACCUCUUUGUGAUUUUUGAACGUUCUGUAUUUGUUAUGUGGCGGCAAAUUUUAGCUUGAGCUUCAAAAGUUAAGAUGCUAGAAGAAUGUUGGUGAAUGUCGCCUAUGCGAAAAUCGAAGCAGAAUAUGAUUACUGGUUUGACAUUAUGCGGAUUAAGAAUCCGGUUAUGUAUGAUUGGGCCAAUCGGAUGGAAUAUGACAAGUGGAUCCAGCAUCAGGAUAGUAGGAGAAGAUUUGGUCACACCUCAAUAUUAGCGAAAUGUGUGAAUUCUGUGCUAAUGGGAACAAGGAACCCCCGGUAACGUCCUUGGUUAAGUCCACGUACAGGAACUGGGCAUGAAUUUUGUAGGCGUCAGUGAAAGCAAUAGAGCGGAAUGAGGGACAUGAGAUGCUUCAUCAUCACUUUAUACAACGGCUACUUUCAGUUUUUGCAUUACCCAUGUUGUCACGCCAUAGCAUGUUGCGGCUACUCGCGUCUGAAUUGGGCCUCAUGUUCACGAUGUGUAUCGUAUGACUGAGGUGUUCAAUGUGUACAAGGAAGGGUUUGUGCCCCCUUUCGUCGAAGGACUCUAGCCGCUGUCAUUCCAGAUCCUAACAUGAAGUGCGCAAUAAAUGGACGACCAAAGUCAACCAGAAUCCAGGGAGGGUGGCAUGGAUCAGGCAGCUCCAAACUAACCGAAGCGUUGUGAGCUCUGCUGUCAACCCGGUCAUACGUGGAGGAACUGUGACUAGCGAUGACAUAUUGCUGCCAGAGAUGCUUAGAUUUUAUGAUUUUUUUUGUUGUACAUUUCAUUCUACAAUGUAUGUUUAAGUCGUUUAAUACCCUAAAUAUGCAUACCACAAUAUCAUGAUACAUAAAUACUAUCAAAUGGCUACACAACUUAAUACUAAUAUUAAGUAUCAUCGUUAUCAAUGACAAAACCACUAAGCAAGUGAGACCCGGUGCCACAUUAAAUAUUAAGUAUCAUCGUCGGUCUUUGUGGCGGUAUGGCAUUAAAUGUUGAUCCAUAGUAAACCAAGGGUCAUAUGGAGUUUCUGCAAGUUGGUUGAGGUUCAUGCCAAACUGAGGCUAAAUACCCUGCAUAUGUGCCUGAACAUCCUGCAUCCGGAGCAUUCAGCAUUUGUGGCAUAUAUGAUUGAAUAUCCUGCAUCUAUGGCAUACAUAUACAGGAUGCUCAGCCACAUAUGCCACAGAUGCUGUAAGCAGGAUGUUCAGUCACGGAUGUAGGGUGUUCAGCCUCAGUUUAUUGUGGAAUUCAACUAACCUGUAGAUACUCCGUAUGACCCAUGGUUAACUAUGAGUGGGACUCCCGCAUUAGUAUUUAGUGAUAUAUUGCCACAGAGACCGAUGGUGAGGCGUCAUGCUUGAUGUGGCACUGCGUCUCACUUGCUUGGUUUUGACAUUGAGGACAUGAUACCAUUAAGGAUUCAGAUUAGCAUUGAGUUCUAUAGUAAUUUGAUAGUACUUAUGGUCCAUGAUAUUGUGGUAUGCGUGUAAUGUGCUAUUCACAUGCAUGUGUUGCGUAUGUUUUAUGAAAUUUAUAUAUGAACUCCUUUGUAACAAAUUUGUUAAAUUUGUUAGGAAUCCAUCAUCGAUAAAAAGUUAAAACAUAAACAUCGUGUAUCAAUUUAUGCAUGAAAUGAAAUAUAACAUGUUUGACGUUAAUGAUGGUAUUAAACAAGUACAAUGAAGUUAAACAACAUGAUAAACAUACAUAGUACAAUGUAACAAAAAAAAAAAACAUAACAUCUAAGUAUUCCUAGCAGUAGUUUGUCCUCGUUGGUCAUAAUUCCUCCGCGUAUGAUCAGGAUGAUGGCAGCUUUGGUUGGUUUGGAGUUGUCUGAUCCACGCGCGCCUCAUGUUUGGGUUUGGAAUGACAGUCGGAGUAGCAUAUGGAGUUCAGAGUCCUUCGAGGAUAGGGGCACAAACCCUUUCUUGUACACGUUGAACACCUUCAGAGUCCUUUGAGGAUAGGGGCACAAACCCUUUCUUGUACACGUUGAACACUUCAGUUAUACGAUACUCAUCACGAACAUAUCAGGCCCAAUUUAGACGCGGCCCAAUUCAAAAAUCUGAACACUUUACCCAUUAAUUUUCGAAAAUGAGGGCUGGGAAUUCGAAGGUAAAAUUGUGACAUACCUCAGGAAUCUUGGUGUGGGUUUUGUAGAGCUCGACACCGCGGUCGCAAACGAUGCGUCAAUUGGAGCUUCAGAUCAGAAGUUAUCAAGGAUUGGAUUUGGAGUUGAAUGAGGGCAAAGGUUUCAAAUUCUCCCACUCCCUUUCAACGUGUGUGUGGUGUUUUAGAGGGGAAAGAGAGCUGAGCUCUCUUAAUUAAGAGAGGUUUGGUUGGGCCUUGGGUCUGGUUGGCCUGGUUUGGUUCGAUCGGUCCAAUCUUAGGUUGAUUUUUUUAAAAUUAGUGUCAAAAUUCUCGCUUUGAAUUUCUCUACCAUAUAAAACCGUGAAAACCUCAUUUUUCAAAUUCUAUAAUAUAUUUUAAUUAAUGGGUUAAUUAACCAUUAAUUAACCGGGUUUUACAUUUUGCCCAGAAAAUUCGAAUUCAGUUACCUGAGAAUAGGUGAGGGUAGUCUGAUCGCAUUUUUUACUCAAGUUUCCUAAUGUGCUCCUCAACACCGGCUCGGCUCCAUGCCACCUUCACUAAUGAACCUCUUUUUCGCGCAAUUUCUUAAUACUUGUGUCAUCUAUCCUAACCAGAGUUACUGGCAGAGUCAAAUCUUCUCUUAACUGCACCGAUUCUGGUUCUAACACGGCUAGCAUCAUGAGUGUACUUCCGAAGCUGCGACACGUGAAAUACGUCGUGCAGAUUCGAAAGGUAAGGCGGUAGAGCUAUCCGAUACGCCACCGGUCCAACCCUCUCAUGAAUCUGGAACGAAUUGUGUAUCGGGGAUUCAGCUUCUAUGUCUUAAUCGCUCUACCUACUCUUGUUGUCGGAGUAACCUUAAGGAAAUCAUGAUCUUCAAACUAAGGGUUUCUGCCGCUGAUUGGCGUAACUCUUUUGACAGCUCUGAGCAGUGAGCAUCUUAUCUCUGAUUUUUUUAACUUGCUCGGUAGUCUCAGCUAUCAAUUUUGGCCCUAACAGACUUUUCUCCCUAGUCUCAUACCAGCAUAGUGGAGACUGGCAUUUUUUCCCAUACAGAGCCUCAUACGGAGCUAUUCUGAUGCUUGCAUGGUAGCUAUUCUAGGAUUUGGAUUGUUCUCUCAGAUUGACUGUCUGUUUGAGGAUGGUAAGCUGUACUCAAGCUCAAACGGGUCCUGAAAGCUUUUUGGAACGCACCCCAGGACCAAUCAAGCUCUAAAACACACAUAUAUAAUGCCUAAACCACAGUAUCACAUAAAAACACAAUAACUCAAUCACCAAAUUACAAAAUUUCAAGUCUUCAGCUUAGGGUUGAGAAUCUCACCUUACUCAAGGUCCAAGGGAACAAGAACAAGCCUUCCCUUCACGUUAAUUUGAUCCUAUAACAUCCAAACUCAAAAAUCUCAAUACUUUACCCACUAAUUUUUGAAAAUGAGGGCUGAGAAUUCGAAGGUGAGACUGUGACUUACCUCAGGAAACUUGGUGUGGGUUUUGUAGAGCUCUAAAUCAAAAGUUAUCAAGGAUUUGAGUUGGAAUUGAAUGAGGGCAAAGGUUUCACAUUUCCCCUUCCCUUUCAACGUGUGUGUGGAGUUUUAGAGGAAAGAGAGAGCUGAGCUCUCUUAAUUAAGAGAGGUUUGGUUGAGCCUUAGGCCCAACUUGGGUCCGAUUGGCUCGUUUUGGCCUGUUCGGUCCAAUCUUGGGUUGAUUUCUUUAAAAUUGGUGUCGAAAUUCUCGUUUUAAAUUUCUCUACCAUAUAAAAUCAUGAAAACCUCAUUUCUCAAAUUCUAUAAUAUAUUUUAAUUUAUGGAUUAAUUAACCAUUAAUUAACCGGGUUUUACACCGGUGGUCACUCGAAAUAGAGGUGGCCAAGCAAGUGUGCGGAACGUUGUACCUCCUCACCUUCCAAGUGCCUUUUGCGCACGAAGCGAGAUGCGAAUCAACCAAUUGCAACCUUUGCCGAACUCCUUGCAUUUCUCAUGAUAUUUCAGAUGAUCCGACUCUAGCACUCUGUACUCAACACCUCGACAGAUGUUGUAAUCCUUCACACUCAAAACAGCUUCCUCUUUAUUCCGAAUGAUUGUCUAAUCUGAAAUUCUGUAGAAGAACCCCCCAACAACAGCAUCUUCCUCUAACUGUUGCCCUAUAGCUUGUAAGUUUUGAGUGAAGUGUGGAGAGUACUGCUGUGUACGUGGAUUGGCACCUGUAUCAUCAUUGCUGUCUCCAAUUAUAUCAACAGGCUCCUGGUCUGAGUCAUUGCAUUCUCAAAUACCCAUGCGAUGGCAGUCGAGUGAGGAACCGAAGCCUGAACUAUGGACAUCGACCUCCAACUGCGAUAGAAAUCUUAUAGAAUAAUUUGUUCAUCCACUUGCUCUCAAAUACUCCAAGCUCUUUAGAUUUAACAAGGUACUUGAUGAACUGAUAAAUAUACUCAACGGUUCUUUGUCAGUGAACUUCACACAGUAUUUCUUGCUUCUUUGAAUUUUUUACACUAAAAAACUCUUAUCCUCACUUGUCAUUGUGAAAAUGUUCCUCUACAACACACUAAGAUUUACAUUGUAUAUAUAGAUUUUUUACUCAUUAUAAACCAUAGCAGAUUACCAUAAGUUAUGUGUAUCUUUUUUUUAUAAAUUGUGUUAAGUUACCAAGACUUAUGUUUAUAUUGUUUAUUUCAUAAAUCGUGGUAGGUUACCACGAUUUAUAUGUAAACGCUAAAACGUAGGAGGUUCCCUAGAUUACAUAGAAUUGUAACAGGAUAUAAAGAUAAACAGUUCUCAAUUGUUACAAUUGUGUAAAUAUUUCAUCCGUUUAUUCCAUUUAAGUAAAUUGUCCGAAUGUUGGCGUUUGUAAAUGAAAGAGUUUCAACUUUCAAGGUUUCACUUCCGUGUGUGCCACUGAAUUGAUUAUGGCAUGGCGUUAUAAUUAAAAAAUAGAUUAUAUAUUCUGUAUAAUCUCUCAUGUCGCUU
Arachis duranensis is the source of this 7907-nucleotide long non-coding RNA. RefSeq lists it as uncharacterized. The record is from RefSeq and is a predicted model, not a curated record. The transcript has 5 exons. Lineage: Eukaryota; Viridiplantae; Streptophyta; Magnoliopsida; Fabales; Fabaceae.